CCAUCCCCUAGUGAGAAGUUUUACUGCUCCACCUCCCCCUCCUGUUUUGACUGUGGUAUCUUAUGUGACCCCCCAUAUAUAUUGUUCCUAGAGUCACCACGAUGUCUGCAUGUGUAUCUGUGUGUGACUGUGUUUGUGUGUGUAUGUCCGUGUAUGUGUAAAUGUGCAGACAUAUAAAAAUCUCGCCAACACUACACACAAAUACACUCUUGUAUUUCAGCGUCAACACUACAUACAAACCCCACCAUUAUAUAUAACCACACCACUGCAUUCAAAUACCACACAACACAC
Molecule: non-coding RNA, 291 nt
Organism: Pelobates cultripes (western spadefoot toad)
Lineage: Eukaryota; Metazoa; Chordata; Amphibia; Anura; Pelobatidae
Source: the annotation of a GenBank genome assembly